AGUAUUUUUUAUCGUUAAUUUAUAAGUAUUAAUGUAAAUUCGUACUAACGCUAUUAAUUUUGUUCUCGUUAGGGAUAUUUGUAAUUAGCGAUUUGUGGAGAACGAUUGAUAAGGUAUUUUAUUCGUUUUAUAUAUUAAAAAUGUUAAAGUUAAUUUGUUAUGUGUAUAUUUUUUUUGUGAAGUUAUAUUUAUAUUAUGUUGUUAAAUUGUGCGUGACGUAGCACAAUGUGUUGUGAUGUACGAAGUUAAUUGAAAUUA
This 258-nucleotide long non-coding RNA is filed under the name Prunus persica (peach). Its description in RNAcentral is "long non-coding RNA (PPER_LNC007970)". The record is from RNAcentral. Lineage: Eukaryota; Viridiplantae; Streptophyta; Magnoliopsida; Rosales; Rosaceae.